This 2202-nucleotide long non-coding RNA is filed under the name Aquilegia coerulea. Its description in RNAcentral is "long non-coding RNA (ACOE_LNC000250)". Lineage: Eukaryota; Viridiplantae; Streptophyta; Magnoliopsida; Ranunculales; Ranunculaceae. The record is from RNAcentral.
UCACGAUUCCAUUCUGCAAGGAAUAGAGAGCAAGGAUUUCUGCAUAGAAAACCAUCAUAUCAUGCACAUAUAUAAAUAUUUUGAAAACUAAUAAACCUUUUUCAUUUUUGAAACACAUGCAUAUCAAGAGAGUACAAUGGUCCUUGAGUAGUUGAGUUCCUUGUCUAAGUGUACUUAAUUAAUGUCUCUCUUCCAGGCUCCAAUUAAGCUGGCCAAUCGUAUUGAUGAGAUUAUGCGUGAUUUUUCUUGGGGGUACCAAGGAGGUUCAUCAUUAUUAUUCAGUUGGCUAGGACAGUUUGCGCUCCUAAGUUACAGGGUAGGCUGGGGAUUUUAGAAGCUUAACAAAAACUGUGUGGGUGCUAUGGAUGAUAAACUACAAAUAGUGCUAAUAUAACAGUUGAAUAUUCAAACAAAUCAAACAAUAUACAGAAAGUAAAUAACACACAGAAAUUUUUAACGUGGUAAAACCCAAUAAGGGAAACGUCCACGGUUGUCCUCGCGACAACAAAUAAUCCACUAGAUGAAAGAGAUUUACAAACCUACCAACUACCUGCACUCACUGCGAGCUGAUACUCCUGAUUAUCUCUAACACCUUGACUUCACCAGAGCACCUUGAUGUACGCACAAGACACUCGACUUCUUGAUGAACACACAAGAAGACUCGAAGCCGAAUUCACAAUGAAACUUGGAAGAUAACAGAUUUAUGAAUUGAGAGAAGGAGGAAGGAAGGGAAUUGAGUUCAAUAACCAAAAACACUUUCAACACCAAAACCUAAACCAAAACUCCAGAACAAGAGGAAUACUGGACGGCCAAAGAACUAACCUAUUCUUUGGAAGAGAAACUCUAUUUAUACUUAGGGUUGGAGAACACAGAAAAUAGGCCGAAAUAGAGAAAAUCCCCAUUGGACGUACGUACGUCGAUAUGACGUUCGUACGUCUCCAUCCGAAACAACUUGUUGACUGCUUGGACGUACGAACGUCCUAACAAGGUACGUACGUCCAGACCAAAAACUUUCCUGCUGCCUAACCAUACGUACGUACGUCCUAACAUGGUACGUACGUUUACCACAAUGAGAGUUCUGCUGCCUAACCUGACGUACGUACGUCCUAACAAGGUAUGUACGUCCUGAACCAAAAACAACCUUUUGACACGAGACACGAAGACAAAGACACAGGAUGACACGCGUACAACAAGGUUUUCUUAACAAUGAACUCAAAGCGAAAUAACCAUGGACGACCAAUGUCACAAAAUUGAUGUCAAACAACUUAGAGCCGGUUUCAAUGGAGGAACAAGAGGUUCUUUGAUCACAAGAAGAAGGAACCUUGUAAACUUUUAAUUUAAAUGAAAGAAACAUUGUUUGAUUGGUCUAUAUGGGUCGUGGAUUUUAGAAGCUUAGGUUUUCAAGAUCUUGUUUCUAAGUGGGAUGAUCUCGUUUUGUAAGGGGGCAAUAUUGUGCCAUUAGUUACUUGUUAGUGGGCAAUUAUCCAUCACCAAGUUGUAAUCCACAAGUUUAUGGAAUGAAAUAUAACCUUUAUUGAUAAAAAAUAAAAUAAAAUCCAAGCGGUUGGAUUUGGGGGAGAGCAUGAUCAUUUGUGGAGACGCACUGUUGUCUCUACUCUCUAGGCAUAUGACCCCUUAACUGAAUUUGGUCUUUCACAGCUUUAUCUCACUAAUAAACUUCUUUUAUUCACUUCUCUCUAUUAUAUAACAGCUUGAAUUUAGACGUUACUUUUUUUCUUCAAACAGGGAAAACAAACCUAUAGAAUAAAUAGGCAACAAAACCAAUUGAACAAAGACAAAAAGUAUUAUUAGAUAGUAGAAACAUUACACACACAUACAAAAAUUUUACAGUUACAGUUGAGCACAAUGGUAAACUUACUAAUGGGAUCCUUCCGCCCUAACAUCGUCAUAAAAAUCUGGAGACACGGAACAGAUACACUCCACAUCUAUUGAGAAAAAAAAUAAAAAGCAUCAUGCCACUGUCAAGACCCUAACUUACUUGAUAUUCAAUAAUUAUUAUUUCUGAAAACACUAACCUUUCAGUUUAUCUGCAAUCUCCUUGUCAACAUAAGCGCCAAAACCCAAUACAUCCGGAUGACACGAAAUAACGUAAAUUCUCUUUUUUGCUUCUUUUCCACUGAAGAGAAGUCAAAAUUUGCAAUUUAUUAGAAAAUGGUGUAAUAGAAAUCAAUUAAACAAAAG